RNAcentral lists this ribosomal RNA (239 nucleotides) under uncultured Lactobacillus sp. RNAcentral describes it as "partial 16S ribosomal RNA". It matches the Rfam family "Bacterial small subunit ribosomal RNA", at positions 125 to 355 of the family's 1533-position model. Lineage: Bacteria; Bacillati; Bacillota; Bacilli; Lactobacillales; Lactobacillaceae. The record is from RNAcentral.
CCGUAGCCCAAGAGAUCGGGAUAACACCUGGAAACAGAUGCUAAUACCGGAUAACAANAGAUGAUGCCUAUCAACUGUUUAAAAGAUGGUUCUGCUAUCACUCUUGGAUGGACCUGCGGUGCAUUAGCUAGUUGGUAGGGUAACGGCCUACCAAGGCGAUGAUGCAUAGCCGAGUUGAGAGACUGAUCGGCCACAUUGGGACUGAGACACGGCCCAAACUCCUACGGGAGGCAGCAGUC